CACCAGUUGGUCCUCACUGGAGAGGUGCGUCUCCACUUGGAGACACCAGUUGGUCCUCCCUGGAGAGGUGCGUCUCCACUUGGAGACACCAGUUGGUCCUCCCUGAAACUCUUG
Long non-coding RNA from Oncorhynchus keta (chum salmon), 114 nucleotides. RefSeq lists it as uncharacterized. The transcript is spliced from 3 exons. Lineage: Eukaryota; Metazoa; Chordata; Actinopteri; Salmoniformes; Salmonidae. The record is from RefSeq and is a predicted model, not a curated record.